GGCGGUGUCCUGCUCAGCCCGUUUCUUAUUUAUGUGGUGUUGGCGUUUGCGGUCACCGGGGUCUUGCGUUUGCUGCUUGCACGCCUUGGCGCUUCACGCUGGAUCUGGCAUGAAGCGCUGUUUGAUACGGCGCUG
This 135-nucleotide small RNA is filed under the name Pseudomonas sp. M30-35. RNAcentral describes it as "Pseudomonas sRNA P18". It matches the Rfam family "Pseudomonas sRNA P18". The record is from Rfam by way of RNAcentral. Lineage: Bacteria; Pseudomonadati; Pseudomonadota; Gammaproteobacteria; Pseudomonadales; Pseudomonadaceae.